Long non-coding RNA from Ctenopharyngodon idella (grass carp), 8647 nucleotides. RefSeq lists it as uncharacterized. The transcript has 6 exons. Lineage: Eukaryota; Metazoa; Chordata; Actinopteri; Cypriniformes; Xenocyprididae. The record is from RefSeq and is a predicted model, not a curated record.
AAAGCAAUGAGCGAACUAUACGCGCACGUGAAAUAUAAACAAAUGCGCGUGAGGCAGAGAGACUGGUGCGAGCCUCACAAAGUUGAAAGUGUUUUGUUCAAAGCUGUAGUCUUAAUUACAAAAAUACCCAUUACAACGUCCAGAUUUGAACUAUGAAGGUCCCAUUGACAUUUUACGUAAUUUGACAGAACAAUACCGGCUGGAAAUUGCGUAUCAAUGCAUAAACCACAUUUUCACGGGUCAAUAAUAUACCUAGUUCUCAGUAAAACGAUUAAAUAAAUAAAUAAUAAUAAUAAACGUAUCGGGACGCGCGAUGCCUACCACUAGUUUGACUAGAGAAAGAUGUCAGUAGGCUAUAACGGAAUGCUUUACCAGUGAUAAGAAACAGAUCAAGCAGCCAGCUAAGGCACAAAAGAGGAAUCAGACUAUUAUGAUAUUGGAAAGUAUAAAAAUCCAUCGUUCAGUGUGUUUUAACAGAUUAUUAACGAGGGAAGUUUUUGGUAUAAUGCGCAGUGAAACCGGCUUUUUGUGCAUGAAUGCCGAAGGCUCCGCUGUACAGGCUUAUAAUGUCUGGAUCGGGCUGCCAUCUAGCGUACAGUAGACAAUUACAGCGACAUAAAAAUGAGUAAUUUAUUGUCAUUUUAAGCAUGUUCCUAAAUGUAGCUCAGAGACGAAUUACGCUGUGGGAUGAAUAUUGUCUGAUUUUUAUUUUAUUGAUGCAUUUAUAAGACACAUAUUAUUUCAAAGUCUUACUUUGAUCAUGAUCUAGUGCAACUUGAUUAACAUUAAGCCUGUUUUAUUUAGCAAUGCCAGUAACUAUAAUUUGUUUUUGCGGAGAAACAAGUUUUGGUCUCUUGCCAGUUGACAUAACCGAGGUGUUUAAAAGAAAAUUAAGUAUUAAAAAAAAACUCUUAGUAGCUUUUAUCAUGACAAAUUCUUUCAUCAGAACUUUCAUAUGAACUCUGCAUCAAAAGUCCAAAACUGUGCGAUAGAAGGGGAGGCAAACAUCGACAUCCGUCCGUUUACGAAACCCUUACAAAUAGGUAGCCUAUUUUCAACUAGACCGCGGAGCUUCCUCCGUCUCUCCUCACACCGAUCCGCAGAAACGCACGCUGCUGUCCUCUGUUCUUUGCAAAGGUGAAACGAAUAAGAUUAAAAGGAACAAAGAGAAACUUCUUUAAGUGUACCAUCAAGGUUUUACUCCACAGACAGGGAAGAGAGCGAGAGGGGAGAGAGGGAGAGGGACAGCGAAUGGGAACACAAGGCACGCAUGAAAACAGUAUUGAAGAAAUGGUAAAGUGGACACUUGGACAUUCAAAGUGCGAGCGCCCAGCGACUGGUGGGUAUCACUUUGGGAUCAGCGGUUUCUCAGUAUGCUCCAUAUUUGAAAGGCAAAGGCGAAUCAUCUAGCUGCCAGUGUGGGGCUCUGUUGAUGGCCUAUGAUUACGGUGGCCGUCACGGGGGAUGAAGAAAAACAGAUUCUCAAAGAUGUGGGCAACUGAGAUAUCCGCAGGGUUUAGGUGGAAAAACACAUGAUCAUGGUUUGAUUGUGCUUAAACAUACACACACAGAAUGUAAAAACAGCACCUGCAUCUCCGUUUACACGUCAUACUCUUGCAGUGUCCCUCUAUCAGUUCUAUCUGUCAGCAAAGGAAAAGAAUGCAGCCAUGAUUCCCGAACGUACAUUCCUCAAAGCAAUCUCUUCACCUCAUAAAACAUCUUUUGAUAAAUAUAGUCAGGUUACCAGAGCUCUUAUUUAAAAAUCUGUGAAAAAGCAUGUUUUCCAAAGUGAAAGAGGACCGAUUACAGACAGCUGUGGCACUCCAAAUGUGCCUCUCCACCCCAUGGUUAGGACAGCAGUUAGUGAGGGACUUCCUGCAUGGAAAGCUGUGUAUGUUUUCCUUCAGUGAAUUGAACAUCCUGCAGAUCUUAAAUUCCAGUCAACAGUAAACUCCCUGACCUCUGAGCACAAAAUUAGGCACAUCAUAUAAGCAAGAGACAAAAGGGAAAGGAAAAGGAGGGACUGCAAAACAAAACAGAAAGAUACAGAUACAAAACAUGACAAAUUAAGAAUGAGAGAUAAUGCAAUUUUUUAUACACAUCUUCUGUUAAAGUUUUUUUAAUUCAUUGUAUGAAAAGGAUUACAGGAAAAGGAAACUAGUUUACAUGAUUAAUUAUAAGCUAUAUGACCAAAACAGUUACAUUUUCCAUAGCAGUAUAUAAUAUAUAUAAUGUCAUCAGGUUAAUUAAGUCAAAUUAAUAUUUUUUUACCACUUAAAACAAAUUUGUGGUUACAUGAUAACAAACAUUUUUUGCAGUAUAACUAAUCACAGGAAAACAUGGGACAAUGAACAAAGCAACCCAUAUAAAAAGAUCUAGUCAUCGUAUUGUAAUGCUCGUAAACAUCCAGACUCUUUUACAUAUAUGUGAGAUCCAUUCCUUUAUUAUGACACAUGCAUGCAAUAUUAGGGAUCAUCUCAUUCUGUAUUAUACCAUUCUGAAGUCUGAUGUUUUCUAUGUCUGAAAACACAAUUAUGUUUUUAGCCAUGAAAGUGUCAGAUUUCAUCUUUUAUUACAUGGACAGGGUUGUCAGUUACAACAUAUGCGGUGAACCCUAUCUGCCAAUGUGUUUAUUGAGCUAUUAUCAAUUGACUGAUGAAACAAACUACUCACCAGUCAACAUAUGUUCCUAAUUUGCUGGAUUUAUUUGAUUUUAAACCACAUGUUUUCUGUUUUAAAUGAUUAUGAAGGUUUGCAAGAGAGCUUUCUUUGCGGAUCACAAACAAUAUGAUUUUUGGCAUUACGAGCAGUGGCGAUUUUGUCCUGGGGAGACGAGAGGCAUUUUAAUCCUUUUUUUUUCUUCUAAGAGGUAUAUUUUACUAUUUAAUAAACAUGGAAAUAAAAUAUGUAACUUCUGCCACCUCAUACCACAAUCACAAAAUAUAUUCAUUGGUUAUAUAGUUUUUUUUUUUUUACCUCCUACCUCUUGUCCUGAAAUAUCCCCAUAUUGCUAGUCAUCUAUAAGACAAAGCUUAAAGGUAAGUGGCAUCCCCUCAUUACCUUGGUUCUGCCUUAUUUAUGUUCCCCACUCCCUGGGGUUUACUUGUGUAGCAGCACCACAAGUACACAACAACUGAUAAAUUCAGAGAUGCCAUACUAUAAUGUAAAUAAUAAUGCAGAGCAGUAAUCCUCUAUGUAUUUUUAAUAUGCAGAAUGUAUAUGAUGUUGAAGUUUGAUAUAUUUGAAUGCCUCCAAAUAAAUUAUUUUGCAUAUGUGCAUAUUAACAUCUUUUCUUCUGUUUCUCAUUGCCUGCGUUUCUCUUUGUCUGAAAUCAUAUGCUUUAUCUGGAGUAUUAUUGUGUACAGCUCUCAAAGGACAGAGAUGUUUCCCAGAGCAGAUCACAUGACCCUAUCAUGUGCUAUCACUGAAGUUGUUCUCUUAUUGGAAGCAGGUCUCCAAGGAAAUGCACUCCUGCAUCACAGUGCCUGAUCACUGGAACAAUACAUUGGGCUGCGGGAUUGCAGCUGUGUGGCGGGUGCCACCAGACUGUUCAUGUCUUGCCUUGUGUGUAUGUGUGUGCCUGUGUGUGCGAGCGAGCGAUCCCUUGGGGCUCUCUCCCUCAGCCCUGGCUCCCUGAUUCGGCAGAAUGCCAGCGUUUGCUGCUUCCCACCUCCUUCCCGGAGACUCCCGGCCAUAAUAGACGGUAAUGGCCUAAGACAAAUCAACCCGUUUCUUGUAAAAAUAGCAGCAAAUAACCCCUGACUUUGCCUCACGAGCGUAAACCAGAGAGAAGCUCGAUUCUGACAGCCACAUUCACAGCGGGCAUUAACCCCAGGAGAAAGCUCGCGCUCCACUUGAACAAAGCCAUAAGUCUUGAAUACUUACAUCCCCCACUCACAGCUCAGAAUGGAUUGGUAAUGACCGACUGUCUGGCUGUGCAGGUUAUAUGCGCUUUGCGCUCGGCCAAUCACAGGAACGAGUGACCUCAGAGACGUUUACAACACCAUCCUACCAAGCAACAGUUUCUGUGCAUUAGUUGAACACAUGGAUAUCAUAUUUAAGCACCACAGUGAGAAGCCUAACAAAUGUAGCCUAUAAACACUCACCCCUGACUGUGUUUGCUAGCUCGGGGGCUGUCGUUGUGAUGUUGCAGGCCUGGGCAGAGGAUGAGAGAGUGUGUGGAGCUCUGGCCAGGACCCUCUAUGUGGACUCUGAAGGGCCUGGAACAUAUAAUAUGCACAAACACACAAAAAAAGAUUAAACAAAAUGUACAGUCAGAGCUGAUGUACAUCCUCAGUCAAGUGGUGAUUCCAAAUCAUUAGUUUAGAAAUGUUCUGUCUGAGUGCAAUACUUCAUAUUAACAGUAGGCAAUUACACCUUGAAAUGGUCACUUUAGGUUUGGAUCACACGAGUGUGAGUGCCGUAAUUCACCCUAUAAAACAGGUAACUGAUAUUACAUCACCCCAGCUAAAAUGGCCUGUGUUUGAAUAUUUUCAAGCGAAAAUGCAUUGCUUUGUUACAUUUAUAUGUAUGCAUUUGGCAAACACUUUUAUCCAAAGCGACUUACAUUGCCUUCAAGGUACACAUUUGCAUUUUUAUCAGUUCUUGCUUUCCCUGAGAACCAAACCCAUGACCUUAGCAUUGCGAGCUACAGGAAAGCCUGUGAUAUUACAGACUAGUUUCUCGAGUUAAAGACUCUCUUUUUUUUCUUCUUUCUUAUACCAUGGUAAGGACAGAAUAGUUUAUAAGGCAAACAAUACAGUCAUAUAAGAACAAACUAAAGAUAUUUCAAUUUGAUAUUUGACAACUUCUAAAACAUUUUUUAAAAGCAUCCAUUCUUUAUUAUUUUUCUUUAAAUAUAUUUAAAAAAAAAAAAACCUUUGACUCUGAUAUUAAAAGCAGUGUAGUCCAGUAAUUUAUGCUUACAAGACAAUAAAGUCUUUACACAGAUAAUCUACAUUACGAUGGUUCUUCACCUUUCAAGUCUUGAAUGAAUGGUUGAUUUCAUAGAAUUCUGAUAUGAAUACACUCAUCCUAUCCCAUUUACCAUUUUUUAAAGAUGUACUCAUUCAGGUUUGAGUUCCCCAUCUCUGUUUGUAUGAGCAGAAUCAUUUACUGUCCACUGAAGGCACUGCAGUGUAAACACUCAGCAGACUUUUUUUUUCCCACAGACCAAAUCAAUCCUAAUGCCCUUUCAGCUCUGUCUAGAAACAAAGUCCUUCAACACUGAUGCUGUGGGUGGAAUUAGGUAAUCUCAGCUAUGAUACUAACUCAUUGCCAGCCUCUUCCCAGGCUCCUUGCUGUCAAGAGCUGUGUUCCUCUCAGAAAAACAACAGUUCUCAGGGGUCCUUACAUCCUUAAGUGGCUCCAGAAAAGGUUAGUUGUCAGGUAAUUGUCCAGCUGCGGUUUGGCUUAUCUUAAUCACAGUGCUUCAACAUAAGCCUGGGUCUGUGUUAUGAAGAGGCUAACGGUGCUAAAGGGGAGGGUGGCUAGCUGAGGGAUUUUGUUGUUCUUUUUCUCUUUUUGUAAAUGCCUGGUGUGCCGAGAUAGCCAAAGCAAAGUAUAGCAAGUUAGCGUCAAGCUACAACACAUAAUGUGGACAAAGUGUUGGACUACUGUUGAUACACACAACAAUAUUUCAUGCAGAAGAAAAACAAAAAGAACAAAUGGAACGGAAACGCAGCAACACCUUUGAGCCAUGUAGAACCAAACAAGCAAGUCAAGGCGCAAUCCAUUUGUCAUGGUUUGUUAUGUAUAUCUGUAAAGUGCAGAAACUUGAGGCUUUGUGAAGCCUUUGAUGUUGCCACUGAGUCACUCUUUAAGGGGACAGCAAGGUUGGAGAGAAUCCAUAACACUAUACAGGGUCCUUUGGUAACAUUAAACAAAAUAACAACGACUAAGAAGGCCUCUUACAAGGGUCAGCAAAUGCAAUCAAACAUCUAUUAACUCUGUACUUCGAAGCCAAAUUAAAAUAUACAAAACGAGCACAGAUCUCUGAUCAUAGAAAUGUUAAAACUGUAAACCGAGUUCAUUCAACCGUUGUAGCCAUUUAUUCUGAUGUAGUUUGCAGUGGUGACACAUAGUCUGCUGUCAUUUUGCUCCACCGACGUCAAAGGUCGAACACAAACUAUAAAAUAUUUGUCGGGGGUCCAUCAAUAAUCCUGACAUGCGGACCCAUACAGUACAAAGCUAGAGGCAGAAUGAACUGUCUCGACAAAAGCAUCUGGUGCACAUGUUGACCCAGAGGCCAAAAGGUUAGCAGCCAGACUCCUCUACCCAUCCCCACUAUGCUUUCAUAUGUUCAUUUGAUGGUCGCUGUGGCAAUUAUAAAGGUAUACUUCAGCCAGGUCUAAUGGACUAGGGGCAAAGAGCAAAGCCUUUACAGUGGGGACCCAAGUCAAAGGUUAGCAUGGCCAUAAGACUGAUUAUGGGGCAUUCGAUGAAAUGGAAAGAUGCGGGCAGCGCACAUGCUGAGCUGCUCAUCUUUAUGCAUAUCUUAACUAUGAACAUGUCUUAUGGAAAACACAUUAAUGAUCAUUUUAGUUGUCAUGCAGUAGACGUUGUUUUUGUUAUCUAGAUUGCCACCGGCUUUUAAUGACUAUUAAAUAUGAAUGGCCAAGGUCAUGAGGGUCGCAGUCUGCAUUUAGAGUGUAUGACCAGUGCCACAUGUAAAGGUUAAAAUGGAAUUGCUUGUGCCAAGUUUAUGAAGAGCCCCAUUUAUGCAGGCCAGCAGGGGUGAUUUAUGACCAGAGAUAAGAGGAAGGAUGGGUGGAAAACUCUUUCUUUUUCAAAUGCAAUCAGCUUCUGUAAAUACGUAGCUUACUUAUAUCCAUCACGCUGUCACAGGGAAUCGCCGUUCCUUUGCUUAGAUGAAAUAACAGCUUUUGUCUGGGUACCGACAACUGUGCUUUUGAAGAACAGUUGUUUUAUCAUUUUGUAUGUGUGUGUGUGUGUGUGUGUGUAUGUAGCUCACUUUCCAAGUUUCCUAAUAUAUUAGCCUAUGCAAUUACAUCAUUCUAAGCAUACCAUAUCACAACAUAUUUAAAAGUAAUCACUCAUUUAAUUCUCUGCGUAAUCCAUUGUAACAGCAGUACUACGUAAGCAGACGGCAUAGUUAAAAGGGUGGAUAGCCUCCUAGCAGACUCUGUUCAUUCAAUUGGUCAUAUAAAAGCAAAACUGUAUUUUACUUGGCAUCUGAUUCAGAAGCGACUGCAUGUCUCAUCAUUUCUACCUGCCCCCAUAACUAGUUAACGUUGUUGAAUACUUGGUCUGGUUUAAUUAGGUAUAAAACAAUUCAUUUUGAUUGAAACAAACCAGAUUUUUGGCAUUCCAUAAUGUGUCCAAAAGGUACAUUUGAUCUGCUAUCAGAACAGCCACAUAUUCACAGCUAAACUGGGAUGUUUUGUCACUGAAUACCACAGCCAAGAACAUUUGUGGAUCUUUGGCCCUUAAAUCUGAAAACCACUCAGUGGUAUGAUCUUUGUGAAACUGCACCCCAGUGGCUCAGGGUCUGGCUGAAAUGGAAAAAAAAGAACGAGAAGAUGUGCUUUGAACUCUUUGCCAAAACGGAAACACGGUCUAGUGCUGCUCAUUUUAACGAGUCGUAAGAACUAUUUUUGUUCCCUCAUAGUAAUAAAUUUGGUCUUUCCUUUUUAUGUAAGCUUAAUGUUUUUCUAGGUGUGGAUCAAAGGGUGAUAAUUCGGAAAACCAUACGCAUCAAUACAUUUUACCUCAUGCCUCUCAAUGUCACACACAAAUCCUGUUUAAUUUUUACUAUAUGUUGCACUUGGACUUCAGCAACCAACUUCAGCGGUGAAAGAAUGAAAAUAUAUUGAAGCACUGUGGGAAAAGUCAAACAAAAAAGUUAAUACAACAAACCCAAAUAUUGGUUUGAUGACUGACAUUUGAAAUAGGGCAUAGGGUGGAUGUAACUUAAGUCUAAGUACACUCUUCCCCCUUUUCACACACCCCUCUGGGUGACUGUUAUUAAUGCUAUUUCCUCUCGUCAUAUUAUGUCAUACGGGACAUUUAAAGAACGUCAUCUUCCGUAAGGGCCCUGCAUUCUGCCAGUAGUCAGAGUACAAAUCAUCAUCAGACCAGACAGAGUCAUCAUCACUGUCCUCCUAUAAGUUAUAAAGUGCUGUUCAUCUCUCUUCUAGUUCUUUGGAAGGUUUUUUUAUUAUUAUUUUUUUUUUUAUCUUUUUUUUUUGUCUGCAGCAUUUCAUAUCAGCAUAUGGUUUGAAAUAUGACUAGCCUAAAUGAUUUGUAUGAAUUUGAGCAUGUGUGAUGUUUUGUCUCUUAUUAAAACAGAUCAACUAGCUACUCUCUGAAGACUUCCCACCUGGCUGUUUGUGUGUUCAGGGAACAGAGCUUUACAUUAAAAUAUGAUUUUAUCAAUAGUGUGAUCAAUAGUGUCAGCCCGCCGUUGUGUAAUUAUUCUGGCCUCAUGUAUCAAUAAAGCCGCAAUAAAGCUGUCAUGCUUGAUCUCUUGGUCGUGAAUAUGCUGAAAGCAGUCAAAAAAAUUUCCAAACGUCUUUUGUUGUUGUUGUUGUUGUUGACAAACAGCACUUUAUAUAUCCUUAUCUCUAUCACUAAAGAAAAUCCUAACAUCAUUCAAGUGUAUGGCCAUCAAUGCAAAGCCAAUAAA